This 270-nucleotide ribosomal RNA is filed under the name uncultured prokaryote. RNAcentral describes it as "partial 16S ribosomal RNA". It matches the Rfam family "Archaeal small subunit ribosomal RNA", at positions 474 to 743 of the family's 1478-position model. The record is from RNAcentral.
CACCAGCAGCUCAAGUGGUGAUCACGUUUAUUGGGUUUAAAGGGUGCGUAGUCGGUUCAGCAAGUCUUUUGUGAAAUCCUACAGCUUAACUGUAGGGAUUGCAGAAAAUACUACUGGGCUAGAGGCCGGGUUAGGCGUGGGGUAUUCUAGGGGUAGCGGUGAAAUGCUAUAAUCCCUGGAGGACCACCAGUAGCGAAGGCGCCACGCUGGAACGGGCCUGACGAUGAGGCACGAGAGCUAGGGGAGCGAACAGGAUUAGAUACCCGUGUA